UGAGUAGCACAGAUGAUCGCGCCUAUUAGUUACCGAAAGGUCUUAGGUGAGGAAAGUCCGGGCUUCAUAGGGCAGGGUGCCAGAUAACGUCUGGUGGAGGCGACUCCAAGGCUAGUGCAACAGAAAUAUACCGCCAAUUUUAUUGGUAAGGGUGGAAAGGUGAUGUAAGAGAUCACCGCCUGGUUGGUAACAAACAGGGCAUAUGUAAACCCCACUCGAAGCAAGACCGAAUU
This 233-nucleotide RNase P RNA is filed under the name bacterium. RNAcentral's name for it is "partial RNase P RNA component class A". It matches the Rfam family "Bacterial RNase P class A", at positions 1 to 234 of the family's 367-position model. From Rfam's summary of the family: Ribonuclease P (RNase P) is a ubiquitous endoribonuclease, found in archaea, bacteria and eukarya as well as chloroplasts and mitochondria. Its best characterised activity is the generation of mature 5'-ends of tRNAs by cleaving the 5'-leader elements of precursor-tRNAs. Cellular RNase Ps are ribonucleoproteins. The record is from RNAcentral.